UACGUAGGGCGCAAGCGUUGUCCGGAAUUAUUGGGCGUAAAGAGCUCGUAGGCGGCCUGUUGCGUCCGCUGUGAAAUCCCGGGGCUCAACCCCGGGCGUGCAGUGGAUACGGGCUGGCUGGAGGCAGGCAGGGGAGAACGGAAUUCCUGGUGUAGCGGUGAAAUGCGCAGAUAUCAGGAGGAACACCUGUGGCGAAAGCGGCUCACUGGACCACAACUGACGCUGAGGCGCGAAAGCUAGGGGAGCAAACAGG
RNAcentral lists this ribosomal RNA (253 nucleotides) under uncultured bacterium. RNAcentral's name for it is "partial 16S ribosomal RNA". It matches the Rfam family "Bacterial small subunit ribosomal RNA", at positions 524 to 776 of the family's 1533-position model. The record is from RNAcentral.